CGGAGGGUGCAAGCGUUGUCCGGAAUCACUGGGCGUAAAGGGCGCGUAGGCGGCCCGGUAAGUAGGGGGUGAAAUCUUGCGGCUUAACCGCAAGGCUGCCUUCUAAACUGCCAGGCUUGAGCACAGUAGAGGCAGGUGGAAUUCCCGGUGUAGCGGUGGAAUGCGUAGAGAUCGGGAAGAACAUCGGUGGCGAAGGCGGCCUGCUGGGCUGUUGCUGACGCUGAGGCGCGACAGCGUGGGGAGCAAACAGGAUUAGAUACCCUGGUAGUCCACGCCGUAAACGAUGGGCACUAGGCGUCGGGGGGAGCGACCCUCUCGGUGCCGUCGCUAACGCAGUAAGUGCCCCGCCUGGGGAGUACGGCCGCAAGGCUG
RNAcentral lists this ribosomal RNA (372 nucleotides) under uncultured organism. RNAcentral's name for it is "bacterial SSU rRNA". It matches the Rfam family "Bacterial small subunit ribosomal RNA", at positions 526 to 896 of the family's 1533-position model. The record is from RNAcentral.